CUUCUCAUAGGGGUCCCUCCAAUGCAGAAUAUGGGCAGAAUUAGUGCUAACAAUGAAGUACCUGUCCAGAAGGAUCUAACAGCUAUAUUUUUAGUCAGGAUUAAUCCUGACUCCAACAAGUGCACUGCCAAGGAGCAGAUGAGCAAGACGACUGAGAGAGUGGUGAAGCAGAAGACGUCAUACAUGAACCCCCAUGUAAUCUCCUUCAUCAGGGACCUCACUGAGUUCUAUUUGCUAACUGACUAGAUGCAGGACAACUGGGAUUCUGGGUCUCCAAGGUCAGGGGACCAUAGACCUUUAUAUCAAGUGGCAGGGGAAUGAUAUUUGUAAGAAGUUUCUUUUCAUUUAUGUUUUAAAUGUUCAUGCACAUGUUCAUUAUUGUUCAAUGUUUUAUUUUAUUUCAAUAUUGCCAUUGUGUUAAUCAUUGCUCUUUAAAACGUGCAAAUAAGGUUGGUUAUUUUUUUUGACCGUAUUUUAUCAAUUCACAUUAUUGUUCCAUCAUGUUAACUGUGGAUAGUCUAAUGGCAUGUCGUCCAUUAUCCCUAACUUAUGUUGUACCUGUUUUGUCAUGUUCCUGUUCACCAAAUGUCUUAAAUAAAUAACUGUUAACAAUUUCUUGUUGUCCCAGACCCAGCUCUUCCAGAGAGCAUCCCAGAGCAUCUCCUCUCAUAGCACCACUUACAACAAGUCUUGCUGAUCCUAGCACUUAUCAGCCGUC
Long non-coding RNA from Alosa sapidissima (American shad), 718 nucleotides. RefSeq lists it as uncharacterized. NCBI's taxonomy places the organism in Eukaryota, Metazoa, Chordata, Actinopteri, Clupeiformes, Clupeidae. The transcript has 3 exons. The record is from RefSeq and is a predicted model, not a curated record.